This 780-nucleotide ribosomal RNA is filed under the name uncultured Actinomycetes bacterium. RNAcentral's name for it is "bacterial SSU rRNA". It matches the Rfam family "Bacterial small subunit ribosomal RNA", at positions 79 to 837 of the family's 1533-position model. The record is from RNAcentral. Lineage: Bacteria; Bacillati; Actinomycetota; Actinomycetes.
UUCGGGGGUAAGUAGAGUGGCGUCCGGGUGAGUAACACGUAGGUAAUCUACCUUCGGGUGGGGAAUAACCCGCCGAAAGGCGGGCUAAUACCGCAUAAUGCAGCGGCACCUAAUGGUGAUUAGUUGUUAAAGCGGGGGACCGCAAGGCCUCGCGCCUGAAGAGGAGCCUGCGGCAGAUUAGCUAGUUGGUGAGGUAAUGGCUCACCAAGGCUUCGAUCUGUAGCUGGUCUGAGAGGACGGCCAGCCACACUGGCACUGACACACGGGCCAGACUCCUACGGGAGGCAGCAGUGGGGAAUUUUGGGCAAUGGGCGAAAGCCUGACCCAGCAACGCCGCGUGAGGGAGGAAAUCCUUCGGGAUGUAAACCUCACAAGCAAGGGAAGAGAGCCGCGAGGCGAAUAACCUCGCGGUCCGACGGUACCUUGCGUAAGCCACGGCUAACUACGUGCCAGCAGCCGCGGUAAUACGUAGGUGGCAAGCGUUGUUCGGAAUUAUUGGGCGUAAAGGGCGCGUAGGCGGUCGGUUAAGUCAGUUGUGAAAGCCCGGGGCUCAACCCCGGAGGGUCGACUGAUACUGAUUGACUAGAGUACGGAAGAGGUAGCUGGAAUUCCCGGUGUAGCGGUGAAAUGCGUAGAUAUCGGGAGGAACACCUGAGGCGAAGGCGGGCUACUGGGCCGAUACUGACGCUGAGGCGCGAAAGCCAGGGGAGCGAACGGGAUUAGAUACCCCGGUAGUCCUGGCCCUAAACGAUGGACACUUGGUGUGUCGGGUUUUACAGU